Molecule: ribosomal RNA, 587 nt
Filed under: uncultured bacterium
Lineage: Bacteria
Description: partial 16S ribosomal RNA
Rfam family: Bacterial small subunit ribosomal RNA
Source: RNAcentral
UGGGGAAUUUUGGACAAUGGGCGCAAGCCUGAUCCAGCCAUGCCGCGUGCGGGAAGAAGGCCUUCGGGUUGUAAACCGCUUUUGUCAGGGAAGAAAUCUUCUGAGUUAAUACCUCGGGAGGAUGACGGUACCUGAAGAAUAAGCACCGGCUAACUACGUGCCAGCAGCCGCGGUAAUACGUAGGGUGCAAGCGUUAAUCGGAAUUACUGGGCGUAAAGCGUGCGCAGGCGGUUUUGUAAGACAGAGGUGAAAUCCCCGGGCUCAACCUGGGAACUGCCUUUGUGACUGCAAGGCUUGAGUGCGGCAGAGGGGGGAUGGAAUUCCGCGUGUAGCAGUGAAAUGCGUAGAUAUGCGGAGGAACACCGAUGGCGAAGGCAAUCCCCUGGGCCUGCACUGACGCUCAUGCACGAAAGCGUGGGGAGCAAACAGGAUUAGAUACCCUGGUAGUCCACGCCCUAAACAAUGUCAACUGGUUGUUGGGAAGGUUCCUUCUCAGUAACGUAGCUAACGCGUGAAGUUGACCGCCUGGGGAGUACGGCCGCAAGGUUGAAACUCAAAUGAAUUGACGGGGUCAUAGCUGUUUCCUG